RNAcentral lists this signal recognition particle RNA (289 nucleotides) under Chlorocebus sabaeus (green monkey). Its description in RNAcentral is "Metazoan signal recognition particle RNA". It matches the Rfam family "Metazoan signal recognition particle RNA". From Rfam's summary of the family: The signal recognition particle (SRP) is a universally conserved ribonucleoprotein. It is involved in the co-translational targeting of proteins to membranes. The eukaryotic SRP consists of a 300-nucleotide 7S RNA and six proteins: SRPs 72, 68, 54, 19, 14, and 9. Lineage: Eukaryota; Metazoa; Chordata; Mammalia; Primates; Cercopithecidae. The record is from Rfam by way of RNAcentral.
GCCGGGCGCGGUGGCUCACGCCUAUAAUCCCAGCACUUUGGGAGGCCGAGGCGGGCGGAUCACAAGGUCAGNNNNNNNNNNUGCUUUAUGCCCAUCGGGUGUUUGCGCUUAGUUCAGCUUCAGUAUGGUGACCUUCUGUGAGCAGGACCACCACGUUGCCUGAGAGGGGUGAGACUGUCCAAAUCGGAAAGGAGUGAAUCCAAACUCCAGGGCUGAUCAAGUAGUGGGAUUGUGCCUGUGAACAGUCACAGUACUCCAGCCUGGGGAACAUAGCAAGACCCUGUCUCUU